UCUUGGGUUCCAUUUAGAGGAAGUAAAAGUCGUAACAAGGUUUGCCAGUGUAGGUGACACCCUCCCUCUGCCGGGGGGGCGUGGGCACCUUUGCACCUAUGGAAGCCUUGCAUGCCGAGUCUACCCUGCGUAGGCAACACCGACAUGGUGCUGGGAUUUCGCCGCCACCGGCGAAUACCAGCAGUCGCUCACGCGGCUCACAGAUCAAACGUCGGUGGCCUGAGGGAGGCUGCGGACGCCCGCUGCCUCCGCUCCCCAGGUUCUGAUAUGACCGGCCCUGCCGCGAAAGUGACAGGAAAUGCCGCGUUCCGUAGGUGAACCUGCGGAAGGAUCAUUA
This 337-nucleotide ribosomal RNA is filed under the name Umbilicaria herrei. Its description in RNAcentral is "partial 18S ribosomal RNA". Lineage: Eukaryota; Fungi; Ascomycota; Lecanoromycetes; Umbilicariales; Umbilicariaceae. The record is from RNAcentral.